RNAcentral lists this ribosomal RNA (326 nucleotides) under uncultured eukaryote. Its description in RNAcentral is "partial 18S ribosomal RNA". It matches the Rfam family "Eukaryotic small subunit ribosomal RNA", at positions 1470 to 1796 of the family's 1831-position model. The record is from RNAcentral.
CCCUUAGAUGUUCUGGGCCGCACGCGCGCUACACUGAUGCAUUCAACAAGCCUAGCCUUGACCGAGAGGUCCGGGUAAUCUAUGAAACUGCAUCGUGAUGGGGCUAGAUUAUUGCAAUUAUUAAUCUUCAACGAGGAAUGCCUAGUAAGCGUGAUUCAUCAAAUCGCGUUGAUUACGUCCCUGCCCUUUGUACACACCGCCCGUCGCUCCUACCGAUUGAAUGUGUUGGUGAGGAGCUCGGAUUGGCAGCAGUUGGUGGUUCGCCACCGGCUAUUGCUGAGAAGUCCUCCAAACCGCCCCAUUUAGAGGAAGGAGAAGUCGUAACA